UCAUAAGCACCUAGUCAACUACUUUGCAACAGAUAGACAUUAACGAUCGUGAACAUAACAUGAAGUCAAUGGAAGAAUUAUAGGCAUAAAUAUUGCACGGAGCAAAACAAAAUAACUAAAUAACAUUGCCAUAAUUGUUUAGCAUAAACUUUAAGACAAAUAACUAAAUACAGUAACAUGCAUGUUAAAUAUUAUACCUAAUCAAGUUCAAGCAUAAUUCAAACAUAGAAAUUGAUCAAACUUAGAUCAAACCAUAAAAUGAACAUCAAGAAUU
RNAcentral lists this long non-coding RNA (274 nucleotides) under Lathyrus oleraceus (garden pea). Its description in RNAcentral is "Pisum sativum (pea) long non-coding RNA (PSAT_LNC034792)". Lineage: Eukaryota; Viridiplantae; Streptophyta; Magnoliopsida; Fabales; Fabaceae. The record is from RNAcentral.